ACUGAACGCUGGCGGCAGGCCUAACACAUGCAAGUCGAACGGUAGCACAGUGAGCUUGCUCUCGGGUGACGAGUGGCGGACGGGUGAGUAACGUCUGGGAAACUGCCCGAUGGAGGGGGAUAACUACUGGAAACGGUAGCUAAUACCGCAUAACGUCGCAAGACCAAAGUGGGGGACCUUCGGGCCUCACACCAUCGGAUGUGCCCAGAUGGGAUUAGCUAGUAGGUGGGGCAAUGGCUCACCUAGGCGACGAUCCCUAGCUGGUCUGAGAGGAUGACCAGCCACACGGGAACUGAGACACGGUCCAGACUCCUACGGGAGGCAGCAGUGGGGAAUAUUGCACCAUGGGCGCAAGCCUGAUGCAGCCAUGCCGCGUGUAUAAAGAAGGCCUUCGGGUUGUAAAGUACUUUCAGCGGGGAGGAAGGCGGUGAAGUUAAUAGCUUCACCGAUUGACGUUACCCGCAGAAGAAGCACCGGCUAACUCCGUGCCAGCAGCAGCCGCAG
Molecule: ribosomal RNA, 504 nt
Filed under: uncultured bacterium
Lineage: Bacteria
Description: partial 16S ribosomal RNA
Rfam family: Bacterial small subunit ribosomal RNA
Source: RNAcentral